GGAAAAUAAUUAUUCUCAUAAAAUACUGGUUAAAGGUAAGAACUACACUUAUGGGAAGGAUAGCAUUAAGGAAGUGUAGUAGUAUAGGUCUAAUUACUUGGAAAUAUCCAUGCAUACUAAACAAAAGAGAUCCCAGCAGAACAUUACUCAAGAUCAACGAUGUCACAUGUUAUCCAAAUAAUUACAUAAUACUUACAUUAUUAACUCAGUGGAAGCAUGUAAGUAAUAACUAGUGCAUUCAAUCCUUAUUAAAUAUCCAAACAUACAGUAUAUUCACAUAAAUAUAGAAAUGCUCUAAGCCAGGCAGUGUUAUCCUUGGGAUGUUUGUUAAUUACAUAUGCCUGAAAAAGUCUUGCAGGCUCAAAUAAGUUUGCCUAACUCAACUUAUUAACCUCACUUUAAGAAAUUUCCCUAAGUGUAGUAGUUAAGGCACUGAGAGAUCCUGUGCAAUGUGUUAAUGACUUUGCUCUCAUUUCCCCAAACUUAUUUAACCACAGAACUCUUUUUCACAACACGCCCAUUAACAUCUUUCAAAACUAUCAUUCUUGGUACAAUUUGGAAGAUGCUGCACUAAGGCAACAAAAGUCUCAAAGUAAAGUAUCAGUGCAAAAAAGAAUUCAAGUAAUGUCAACCUGCACUUCUCACCAACUAUAAAGAGGAGAAAAGAAACAUUUAGGGAAUAUGCUAGAGAAGGGGUUCUCCAAGAUUGGCGAGAUCUGACUGUGAUGGCUGCAGACGACACACAUAGGAGAAUCUGAAGAAAACUUGGAAGUUAUGGGACAACCAUUUUGGCCAUGUGCACACCAAAACAAGGAAAGCUGGUCUUCAGAGAGUCAAAAGUCAAACAAAUGCAGACAGAAGAAAGGAAUGAAAAACAUGGCUGUAAGCCCCAGCUGCACUUGAUUUCCAUCUAAGUUAGUCUAACAUUCUUAAAUUUUUUUUGCUUUGGCUGGUUUAAAAUGAGUUUCAGUUACUUGCAACCAAAAACACCUUAGAAGACAGUCACAUGCAGAUAUCAGGCAAGUACUGCUCUGCAUAUAAGGAAGGAAAUGACCUUCAAAGCAUCUGCACCAGCCAGACACAAGGCCAGGGUAACUGGCCUGCCUACUGGAAGCAGCAGGGCGUGACAGGUAUCAGGAAUCUUUGGUUUUGGUCUUAGCUCUGCUAAUAAUUCUCAAUGUGACUUGACCAAUUGGUCUUUUUAUUUUUCUGGCCUGGUUUCCUCAUUUAUAUAGUAAGAUUAAAGGUUUCCAACAGGACUCAAAAGAUAAUUAUUAGGACCAAUGCUAACAGAUCACUUUCUGUACAUGUAAACUAAAGCAUGUUUCUUUUACAUAUGAUUAGAGUUCUGCCCACUGAAUAUGAUAAUCAUAAAACAGCAAUCCGCCCAAGCCAAAAAUUGGUCAUCCUCAACACCUCUUCCAUCUAAUGAGAAACUGAGUACUACCCCUUCUGUGUCCCUCUACUAUAUCCACUGUCACACUUUCCCCAGCCUUUGUCAUCUCUUAGCUAAACUAUUCUAACAGCUUCCUAGCUUAUCUCCCUUUCUGUGGUCUCUUCCACACUGCUACCAAAGUGAACUUUCUAGCACACACAAAUUGGCCCACUCUUCUUUAGGGGAAGCAGUUUCCUAAGUAAUGAGAGGUUUCAUUGUCUUCCACAUGCUCAACAUUUACUCUUUGACCUCAGUCCAAUUCUGAGACCUAUGAUGACAACUCCAUUUCAGAGUUAAAGUGCUUCAUUCCUCUUCUAAAUUUCCAGACACAACUACAUACAGGGUAACAAUUACUGCUGCAGAUGUAAAUACAAAGUGCUAUGUUGUAGUUACUACAACACAGAGACUUUAAAGUCAGCCCCCAGCGAAUCACACCUCCAGUAUCCAUGCCCUUGAGUAAACCCAUCCCACAAUGAGCCUGGGCUUUUUCCAACUCUAACCGAGAGAAUGAGGCAAAAAUGACUGUCAGUUCACAACCUACACUUUAAGAAGGCUUCUUUUGCCCUUUUUUUUUCUUUAGCCCUGGCCAGCCAUUUAAGAAGUCCACCUGCCUUGCUAGAGAAAUCAUGUGGAAAUGUCACAUGGGGGGAUACAAGCCCCCCAAGCUUCCUGAAAAUUCAUGGAGAGAAAGGCGCAGCCUCUCAGCCACCCCUUCCAAGAUACCAAGGAGCCAUUUUGGAUGUGUCAACCCUUGUCGGGCCCCAGAUGACUGAAGACUCAGCUGAUAUGUGGAACAGAACCUUCAGCUGAGUCCAGUCAAUCCAAAGAAUCAUGAGAAUUAAUAAAAUGAUUAUUAUUUUAAGGCACUAAGUUUUGGGGUACUUACAUGGCAACGGAUGACUGAAACAUGUCCCACUUAUGAGCUCCUUGAAAGCAGAGAGAAUGUUAAUCUAUCUCAUAGGAAAAUUAUUUGAAAGACACCAUGUGAUUGUAGUCUUUUAAAACAAUUUUUUUAAAACCUCAUACUAGGUUGAAUAGUGUCCCUCCAAAAUUCAUGUCCAUGCAGAAUGUGACCUUUAGAUGAGGUCAUACUGGGUUAGGGUAGGCCAUAAAUUCAAUGACUGGUGUCUUUCUAAGAGGCCAUGUAAAGACAGACAAGGAGGUAAGAAGGCCACGUGACAACAGAAGCAGAGACUGGAAUGAUACAGCCACAAGCCAAGAAAUACCAAGGAUUGCUGGGAGCUACGAGAAGCUUGUAAAGAGGAGUCCCUUUCACAUCCUACAGCCUUCAGAGGAAGCAGGGUCCUGUUGACACCCUGGUUUUAGACUUCUGGCCUCCAGAACUAAAAAUAAAUUUGUAUUGCUUUAAGCCAUUAUAAUUUGUGAUAAUUUGUUAUGGCAGCCUAAGCAACUAAUACAAACCUUUCAUUAGUUUCACUAACAAAACCCUUUGGUGGGCAAAUCAUAAUAAGGUUCCCUAGUGGCUGAUAACAACAGGCUGAAAGCCACUGAUAAGAAUCAUCUCAUGCUCCUCUCUGUUCUAAUUUAAUUACUUUAUAAUAAUUAUGGAUAAUUAUAUGUUAUGUUCACAAAGUGCUCCAUACAUUAUUGUUAUUCAUUUACCCUCCCAAAAUUAACAAACAAUUAUAGUUUCUCCCAGGUUAAGACCAAAUAUGUCAGUUUAAUCAAUUUGCCUGUGUGAAUGGAAUGGAAAUGCAAUUUUAAUUUCAGCACUUUGUAUUCCACAGACUGCUGCCUGAAGGCUUUCUAAGCUAUUAUCUGAAUACCUCCAAAACUCUUUCUUUCAGCACUCUUCCCUCAGGUUCUGUGACUACCCCACUGCAAACUUGGCC
RNAcentral lists this long non-coding RNA (3288 nucleotides) under Homo sapiens (human). RNAcentral's name for it is "HSALNT0296444". Lineage: Eukaryota; Metazoa; Chordata; Mammalia; Primates; Hominidae. The record is from RNAcentral.